CGAGCUUGACGGAUGAUUUCUUCGGAAUGAAACCAGAUAUGACUUAGUGGCGGACGGGUGAGUAACACGUGAGCAACCUGCCUUUCAGAGGGGGAUAACGGCUGGAAACGGUCGCUAAUACCGCAUGACGUGUUCGGAUGGCAUCAUCUGAACAUCAAAGAUUUAUCGCUGAAAGAUGGGCUCGCGUCUGAUUAGAUAGUUGGUGGGGUAACGGCCUACCAAGUCGACGAUCAGUAGCCGGACUGAGAGGUUGAACGGCCACAUUGGGACUGAGAUACGGCCCAGACUCCUACGGGAGGCAGCAGUGGGGAAUAUUGCACAAUGGGGGAAACCCUGAUGCAGCAACGCCGCGUGAAGGAUGACGGUUUUCGGAUUGUAAACUUCUUUUCUUAGUGACGAAGACAGUGACGGUAGCUAAGGAAUAAGCAUCGGCUAACUACGUGCCAGCAGCCGCGGUAAUACGUAGGAUGCAAGCGUUAUCCGGAUUUACUGGGUGUAAAGGGAGCGCAGGCGGGACUGCAAGUUGGAUGUGAAAUACCGUGGCUUAACCACGGAACUGCAUCCAAAACUGUAGUUCUUGAGUGAAGUAGAGGCAAGCGGAAUUCCGAGUGUAGCGGUGAAAUGCGUAGAUAUUCGGAGGAACACCAGU
Molecule: ribosomal RNA, 649 nt
Filed under: uncultured bacterium
Lineage: Bacteria
Description: bacterial SSU rRNA
Rfam family: Bacterial small subunit ribosomal RNA
Source: RNAcentral